UACGUAGGGGGCAAGCGUUGCCCGGAUUUAUUGGGCGUAAAGAGCGUGUAGGCGGCUUGGUAGGUCUUGCGUCAAAACCUGAGGCUCAACCUCAGUUCGCGUGGGAAACCACCUAGCUAGAGUCCGGAAGAGGAGAACGGAAUUCCCAGUGUAGCGGUGAAAUGCGCAGAUAUUGGGAAGAACACCAGUGGCGAAGGCGGUUCUCUGGGACGGUACUGACGCUGAGACGCGAAAGCGUGGGGAGCGAACAGG
Molecule: ribosomal RNA, 252 nt
Filed under: uncultured bacterium
Lineage: Bacteria
Description: partial 16S ribosomal RNA
Rfam family: Bacterial small subunit ribosomal RNA
Source: RNAcentral